The sequence is a transfer RNA, 76 nucleotides long. It matches the Rfam family "tRNA". From Rfam's summary of the family: Transfer RNA (tRNA) molecules are approximately 80 nucleotides in length. Their secondary structure includes four short double-helical elements and three loops (D, anti-codon, and T loops).
GCUGGUGUAGCUAAAUUGGCAGAGCAGCUGACUUGUAAUCAGCAGGUUGGGGGUUCGAUUCCUCUCGCCAGCUCCA